AGUUUGAUCCUGGCUCAGGAUGAACGCUAGCUACAGGCUUAACACAUGCAAGUCGAGGGGCAGCAUUGGAGUAGCAAUACUUCAGAUGGCGACCGGCGCACGGGUGAGUAACACGUAUCCAACCUGCCGCUUACUCGGGGAUAGCCUUUCGAAAGAAAGAUUAAUACCCGAUGGUAUAAAGAGUUCGCAUGUUCUCUUUAUUAAAGAAUUUCGGUAAGCGAUGGGGAUGCGUUCCAUUAGAUUGUUGGCGGGGUAACGGCCCACCAAGUCUACGAUGGAUAGGGGUUCUGAGAGGAAGGUCCCCCACAUUGGAACUGAGACACGGUCCAAACUCCUACGGGAGGCAGCAGUGAGGAAUAUUGGUCAAUGGACGAGAGUCUGAACCAGCCAAGUAGCGUGAAGGAUGACUGCCCUAUGGGUUGUAAACUUCUUUUAUAAGGGAAUAAAGUGAGGGACGUGUCCCUUUUUGUAUGUACCUUAUGAAUAAGGAUCGGCUAACUCCGUGCCAGCAGCCGCGGUAAUACGGAGGAUCCAAGCGUUAUCCGGAUUUAUUGGGUUUAAAGGGAGCGUAGGUUGACAUAUAAGUCAGCUGUGAAAGUUUACGGCUCAACCGUGAAAUUGCAGUUGAUACUGUAUGUCUUGAGUGUACAAGAGGUGGGCGGAAUUCGUGGUGUAGCGGUGAAAUGCUUAGAUAUCACGAAGAACUCCAAUUGCGAAGGCAGCUCACUGGGGUACAACUGACACUGAGGCUCGAAAGUGUGGGUAUCAAACAGGAUUAGAUACCCUGGUAGUCCACACAGUAAACGAUGAAUACUCGCUGUUUGCGAUAUACAGUAAGCGGCCAAGCGAAAGCAUUAAGUAUUCCACCUGGGGAGUACGCCGGCAACGGUGAAACUCAAAGGAAUUGACGGGGGCCCGCACAAGCGGAGGAACAUGUGGUUUAAUUCGAUGAUACGCGAGGAACCUUACCCGGGCUUGAAUUGCAGAGGAACAUAGUUGAAAGAUUAUGGCCGCAAGGUCUCUGUGAAGGUGCUGCAUGGUUGUCGUCAGCUCGUGCCGUGAGGUGUCGGCUUAAGUGCCAUAACGAGCGCAACCCUUAUCAUUAGUUACUAACAGGUCAUGCUGAGGACUCUAGUGAGACUGCCGUCGUAAGAUGUGAGGAAGGUGGA
This 1169-nucleotide ribosomal RNA is filed under the name uncultured Bacteroides sp. RNAcentral describes it as "bacterial SSU rRNA". It matches the Rfam family "Bacterial small subunit ribosomal RNA", at positions 10 to 1177 of the family's 1533-position model. The record is from RNAcentral. Lineage: Bacteria; Pseudomonadati; Bacteroidota; Bacteroidia; Bacteroidales; Bacteroidaceae.